RNAcentral lists this ribosomal RNA (208 nucleotides) under uncultured bacterium. Its description in RNAcentral is "partial 16S ribosomal RNA". It matches the Rfam family "Bacterial small subunit ribosomal RNA", at positions 568 to 774 of the family's 1533-position model. The record is from RNAcentral.
CGCGCAGGCGGCUAUUUAAGUUGGAUGUGAAAGCCUACGGCUCAACCGUAGAACUGCAUCCAAAACUAUUUAGCUAGAGUGUGGGAGAGGAAGAUGGAAUUAGUUGUGUAGGGGUAAAAUCCGUAGAGAUAACUAGGAAUACCAAAAGCGAAGGCAAUCUUCUGGAACACUACUGACGCUGAGGCGCGAAAGCGUGGGGAAGCAAACA